RNAcentral lists this ribosomal RNA (433 nucleotides) under uncultured bacterium. Its description in RNAcentral is "partial 16S ribosomal RNA". It matches the Rfam family "Bacterial small subunit ribosomal RNA", at positions 29 to 507 of the family's 1533-position model. The record is from RNAcentral.
AACGAACGCUGGCGGCAGGCCUAACACAUGCAAGUCGAGCGGACCUUUCGGGGUCAGCGGCGGACGGGGGAGUAACGCGUGGGAAUAUGCCCUUCUCUACGGAAUAGUCCUGGGAAACUGGGGGUAAUACCGUAUACGCCCUUUGGGGGAAAGAGUUAUCGGGGAAGGAUUAGCCCGCGUUGGAUUAGGUAGUUGGUGGGGUAAUGGCCUACCAAGCCGACGAUCCAUAGCUGGUUUGAGAGGAUGAUCAGCCACACUGGGACUGAGACACGGCCCAGACUCCUACGGGAGGCAGCAGUGGGGAAUCUUAGACAAUGGGGGCAAACCUGAUCUAGCCAUGCCGCGUGAGUGAUGAAGGCCUUAGGGUUGUAAAGCUCUUUCAGCUGGGAAGAUAAUGACGGUACCAGCAGAAGAAGCCCCGGCUAACUCCGUG